GUUGCAUCAAUAAACAACCUCGGUGCUCGUAGACUAUAGGCCAAGGACACUUCCGCUGGGGUGGGUUGGAGGUAGCUCCGCACCACUGAUAUUAUACCUUAUUGGACAAUCCGUUCAUGCUAUUUUGAUGGAAAUAUAACAAUCUUCCUGCAGUUCGAUGUGUUCACGUGUCCUUCGAUGUCCAGUCGCCAGGGAAUCUAUAUGUAGGCCAAUAUUAUCGACGUUAUCGAUGUUGCCGAGGUCGAUAGGACUACCGAUGAUAUAAGGCCCGGAUUGUUCUUGAAUUCCAUCGUUUGUUCGACCAGUUACAGAUGAUGAACUGUUACGAACACCGCUGUUUUGUGGGGGUGUACUGUCCAUAUGAGGUAUAGAAGAAAGAUCCGGCGGUGUAAAUGGACGUAAUAAGCCAGGACUGGGAACCUGGGGGUUCCCCCUGGCACUUGGUUGCAUUGAACGUAACGGAACCUAAAUCAGAUGAAAUGUAUUAAUGUAAUAUCUAUGUCGAUUAGUUUAGUUCAGUUUUGAGAGAAAAAUUUAUUAAAAAUUUGAGUGAUUUAAUUACUUAAACAUGAAAGAAUUCGAAUUUUUAUUUUAUUAAAUAAUCUACUUAAAAUUAAAUUUUGUUUAACUAAUGAUGAGUAAUAUUGAUCAUUAGAAGUCGAUUAUUUUUUAUAUGAUAAGAUAAUAUCACAAUAAAUUAUUUCAAAUUC
Long non-coding RNA from Apis cerana (Asiatic honeybee), 710 nucleotides. RefSeq lists it as uncharacterized. The record is from RefSeq and is a predicted model, not a curated record. Lineage: Eukaryota; Metazoa; Arthropoda; Insecta; Hymenoptera; Apidae.